Molecule: ribosomal RNA, 461 nt
Filed under: uncultured bacterium
Lineage: Bacteria
Description: partial 16S ribosomal RNA
Rfam family: Bacterial small subunit ribosomal RNA
Source: RNAcentral
CCUACGGGAGGCAGCAGUGAGGAAUAUUGGUCAAUGGGCGGGAGCCUGAACCAGCCAAGUCGCGUGAGGGAAGACGGUCCUAUGGAUUGUAAACCUCUUUAGGCGGGGAGCAAUGCCGGGCACGCGUGCCCGGAGGGAGAGUACCCGCAGAAUAAGCAUCGGCUAACUCCGUGCCAGCAGCCGCGGUAAUACGGAGGAUGCGAGCGUUAUCCGGAUUUAUUGGGUUUAAAGGGAGCGUAGAUGGGUUGUUAAGUCAGUUGUGAAAGUUUGCGGCUCAACCGUAAAAUUGCAAUUGAUACUGGCAGUCUUGAGUACAGUUGAGGUAGGCGGAAUUCGUGGUGUAGCGGUGAAAUGCUUAGAUAUCACGAAGAACUCCGAUUGCGAAGGCAGCUUACUAAACUGCCACUGACAUUGAUGCUCGAAAGUGUGGGUAUCAAACAGGAUUAGAUACCCCAGUAGUC